Pleuronectes platessa (European plaice) is the source of this 808-nucleotide long non-coding RNA. RefSeq lists it as uncharacterized. The record is from RefSeq and is a predicted model, not a curated record. NCBI's taxonomy places the organism in Eukaryota, Metazoa, Chordata, Actinopteri, Pleuronectiformes, Pleuronectidae. The transcript has 3 exons.
UCCCUUAUAUUUACCAAAACUGCUUGUUUCACAGACUGCAGUUUUGUUUUGAUCCGAUGUGGUGUGCAAAUACAACCGUAUCGGCAAUGGGUUGUGGGGCAUUAACAUUUGUAAGUCUAAUUUUGUUUUGACAGACUGUGAAAAGAACGUUGAGAACAUCACCACUCUACAGGAAGACACAGUCCAGUAAUGGGUGUCAGAAUUUCAGUAGUGAACGACAGGUACUGUGGAAAAAUGUGUGUCAUUGUUGUACAAUGUCCUUUGACUCUGUUUACACAAGGUUAACACAAAAAGGUUUGAUUGUAAACUGAUAUUGGUAUGAAUUCAUGUUAUUCUCCUCUUCACAAGAAACAAACAAUCCAAAUUACCUGCAGAAAGCCCUUGAUGGACGCUUCAGCUGCAUCGUCAGACUGGCAGUACUGAUGCAUUUACUGAGACGGGACGUGAGGGCCUACUCUGCGUGCUCAGAGUUCAAGCCCAGCAGGCUGCAGCGGGCCUGACAUAUUCUGGAACAGCAGCACAGUCUUUGGAUGACUCCUCUGAAGAUGAAAACAUGGCGAGUUCUUCUCAAGAGAAGCAGUACAGGUGUGCCUCAGCUCCACGGUCCCUCCUGCAGCCUCCGCUCCUGAUGCUAACCUCAUGUCUCCAUCACACCAAGCAGCAGACCUGGAUUGACAGACCUUUCUCCAGAGCUGCCCCCUCCCUCUGAAACCCCCCUCUCAAAAACACUAUUUGUGUAGUUUUUAAAGUAUUUUUUGCAUGAUAAUUGUUGAUCAUAUCAUUUCCAGCAGAUGCCUUAAUAUAAUGU